GCUACCAUGCAGUCGAGCGGUAAGGCCUUUCGGGGUACACGAGCGGCGAACGGGUGAGUAACACGUGGGUGAUCUGCCCUGCACUUCGGGAUAAGCCUGGGAAACUGGGUCUAAUACCGGAUAUGACCUCCUAUCGCAUGGUGGGUGGUGGAAAGAUUUAUCGGUGCAGGAUGGGCCCGCGGCCUAUCAGCUUGUUGGUGGGGUAAUGGCCUACCAAGGCGACGACGGGUAGCCGACCUGAGAGGGUGACCGGCCACACUGGGACUGAGACACGGCCCAGACUCCUACGGGAGGCAGCAGUGGGGAAUAUUGCACAAUGGGCGAAAGCCUGAUGCAGCGACGCCGCGUGAGGGAUGACGGCCUUCGGGUUGUAAACCUCUUUCAGCAGGGACGAAGCGCAAGUGACGGUACCUGCAGAAGAAGCACCGGCUAACUACGUGCCAGCAGCCGCGGUAAUACGUAGGGUGCAAGCGUUGUCCGGAAUUACUGGGCGUAAAGAGUUCGUAGGCGGUUUGUCGCGUCGUUUGUGAAAACCAGCAGCUCAACUGCUGGCUUGCAGGCGAUACGGGCAGACUUGAGUACUGCAGGGGAGACUGGAAUUCCUGGUGUAGCGGUGAAAUGCGCAGAUAUCAGGAGGAACACCGGUGGCGAAGGCGGGUCUCUGGGCAGUAACUGACGCUGAGGAACGAAAGCGUGGGUAGCGACCAGGAUUAGAUACCCUGGUAGUCCACGCCGUAAACG
This 741-nucleotide ribosomal RNA is filed under the name uncultured bacterium. RNAcentral's name for it is "bacterial SSU rRNA". It matches the Rfam family "Bacterial small subunit ribosomal RNA", at positions 48 to 808 of the family's 1533-position model. The record is from RNAcentral.